RNAcentral lists this non-coding RNA (975 nucleotides) under Lepidochelys olivacea (Pacific ridley). RNAcentral describes it as "12S ribosomal RNA". It matches the Rfam family "Bacterial small subunit ribosomal RNA". The record is from RNAcentral. Lineage: Eukaryota; Metazoa; Chordata; Testudines; Cheloniidae.
CAAAGAUUUGGUCCUAACCUUACUGUUAAUUUUUGCUAAAUUUACACAUGCAAGUAUCCGCAUACCAGUGAAAACGCCCUAACAUAUCCAAUCAGAUAAAAGGAGCCGGUAUCAGGCACACCAUGAUAGCCCAAGACACCUAGUUCUACCACACCCCCAAGGGUAUCUUCAGCAGUGAUAAAAAUUAAGCAAUAAGCACAAGCUUGACUUAGUUACAGCAAAGAGAGCUGGUCAACCUCGUGCCAGCCACCGCGGUUAUACAAGAAGCCCAAACUAACAACCAAUCGGCGUAAAAUGUGGCUAAACAACCCUAUCAAUAAAAUUAAGGUGAACUAAGUACCAAACUGUCAUACGUAAAAGUACAAAUUAAUACACUAUGAAAAUAACCUUAAUACAAUGAAACAACUUGAACCCACGAUCGCUAAGACACAAACUUAGGAUUAGAUACCAUACUAGGCCUAGCCCUAAAAUUAGAUAUUUUCAGCACAAAAAAUAUCCUGCCAGAGAACUACGAGCAUAAACGCUUAAAACUCUAAGGACUUGGCGGUACCUCAAACCCUCCCAGAGGAGCCUGUUCAAUAAUCGAUAAUCCACGAUCUACCUCACCACUCCCUUGCCAAUUCCGGCCUAUAUACCACCGUCACCAGCUUACCCCAUGAGAGCACAAAAGUAAGCAAAAUAACCUAAACAGUUAAUAAGUCAGGUCAAGGUGUAGCUAAUUGAUGAUGGAAGAAAUGGGCUACAUUUUCUACCUUAGAAUUAAUCACGGAAGAAUAUCAUGAAAUAGAUUCCACAAGCAGGAUUUAGCAGUAAACUGCGAGCAGAGAGCCCAAUUUAAGCUGGUCCCUGAGGUACGCACACACCGCCCGUCACCCUCCUCAAAUAAACCUAAUAACAAUAAAUAAACCACAACAAACAUAAUAGAUGAGGUAAGUCGUAACAAGGUAAGUACACCGGAAGGUGUACUUGGAACAU